RNAcentral lists this ribosomal RNA (143 nucleotides) under Sarcocystis tenella. RNAcentral describes it as "partial 18S ribosomal RNA". It matches the Rfam family "Eukaryotic small subunit ribosomal RNA", at positions 1687 to 1827 of the family's 1831-position model. Lineage: Eukaryota; Apicomplexa; Conoidasida; Eucoccidiorida; Sarcocystidae. The record is from RNAcentral.
GAUUGAGUGUUCCGGUGAAUUAUUCGGACCGUCCCGUUAACGCGCGGCAACGAGUGUGCGGAAUGGAGAGUUUUGUGAACCUUAACACUUAGAGAAAGGACAAGUCGUAACAAGGUUUCCGUAGGUGAACCUGCGGAAGGAUC